This 463-nucleotide ribosomal RNA is filed under the name uncultured bacterium. RNAcentral describes it as "partial 16S ribosomal RNA". It matches the Rfam family "Bacterial small subunit ribosomal RNA", at positions 28 to 507 of the family's 1533-position model. The record is from RNAcentral.
GAUGAACGCUGGCGGCGUGCUUAACACAUGCAAGUCGAACGGAAAGGCCCAAGCUUGCUUGGGUACUCGAGUGGCGAACGGGUGAGUAAGACGUGGGUGAUCUGCCCUGCACUUCGGGAUAAGCCUGGGAAACUGGGUCUAAGACCGGAUAGGACCACUUCGUAGUGGUUGUGGUGGAAAGUUUUUUCGGUGUGGGAUUGGCUCGCGGCCUAUCCGCUUUUUGGUGUGGGAAUGGCCUACCAAGGCGUCGACGGGUAGCCGGCCUGAGAGGGUGUACGGCCACAUUGGGACUGAGAGCCGGCCCAGACUACAACGGGAGGCAGGAGCGGGGAAUAUUGAACAAUGGGCGGAAGCCUGAUGCAGCGACGCGGCGUGAGAGAUGACGGCCUUCGGGUUGUAAACUCCUUUCGACAAAGACGAAUUUCGGACGGUAUUUAGAGAAGAAGCACCGGCUAACUACGUG